UUUUCACGUUUUGACUAUUAGUCCUGUGGUCUUGAUGCAGGAGAUUAAUCUCCCAGUAGAAGUGGGUGGUACUUUCACUGGAGGAGAACUCAACAGAUGAAAUGAAAGUCCAUAAAUGACUUCCAAUCAGUGCUCAGUGGUAACUAUAUCAAUAUCUCAAAGU
This is a long non-coding RNA of Sphaeramia orbicularis (orbiculate cardinalfish), 163 nucleotides long. RefSeq lists it as uncharacterized. NCBI's taxonomy places the organism in Eukaryota, Metazoa, Chordata, Actinopteri, Kurtiformes, Apogonidae. The record is from RefSeq and is a predicted model, not a curated record. The transcript is spliced from 3 exons.